Molecule: ribosomal RNA, 253 nt
Filed under: uncultured bacterium
Lineage: Bacteria
Description: partial 16S ribosomal RNA
Rfam family: Bacterial small subunit ribosomal RNA
Source: RNAcentral
UACGUAGGGCGCAAGCGUUGUCCGGAAUUAUUGGGCGUAAAGAGCUCGUAGGCGGCCUGUUGCGUCCGCUGUGAAAACGCGAGGCUCAACCUCGCGCCUGCAGUGGGUACGGGCAGACUAGAGUGCGGUAGGGGAGAUUGGAAUUCCUGGUGUAGCGGUGGAAUGCGCAGAUAUCAGGAGGAACACCGAUGGCGAAGGCAGAUCUCUGGGCCGUAACUGACGCUGAGGAGCGAAAGCGUGGGGAGCGAACAGG